AAAGUCGUAACAAGGUUUCCGUAGGUGAACCUGCGGAAGGAUCAUUAUCGAGAGAGGGACUCCGCGUCCCGGGGGGCUCCGGCCCUCCAUUCUUCAACCCUGUGUAUACCAAUCUACGUUGCUUUGGCGAGCGCCGGGGAGCAAUCCCCGGCCCUGGCUUCGGCCGGCGAGCCCUCGUCAGAGGCCCAUCAAAAUCUGUUUCAGUGACGUCCGAGGGUACCAAUAUUAAUAAAUUAAAACUUUCAACAACGGAUCUCUUGGUUCUG
This 266-nucleotide unclassified non-coding RNA is filed under the name Ascomycota sp. RNAcentral's name for it is "partial contains small subunit ribosomal RNA, internal transcribed spacer 1, and 5.8S ribosomal RNA". The stretch from base 1 to 47 matches the Rfam family "Eukaryotic small subunit ribosomal RNA", at positions 1785 to 1831 of the family's 1831-position model. Lineage: Eukaryota; Fungi; Ascomycota. The record is from RNAcentral.